RNAcentral lists this transfer RNA (75 nucleotides) under Acidobacteriota bacterium. RNAcentral's name for it is "Acidobacteria bacterium tRNA-Lys". It matches the Rfam family "tRNA". Rfam says of the family: Transfer RNA (tRNA) molecules are approximately 80 nucleotides in length. Their secondary structure includes four short double-helical elements and three loops (D, anti-codon, and T loops). The record is from RNAcentral. RNAcentral also lists the same sequence under 3 other names. Lineage: Bacteria; Pseudomonadati; Acidobacteriota.
GACCGGGUAGCUCAGUGGUAGAGCAGCGCACUUUUAAUGCGCGGGCCGCGGGUUCAAUCCCCGCCCCGGUCACCA